RNAcentral lists this ribosomal RNA (439 nucleotides) under uncultured bacterium. RNAcentral's name for it is "partial 16S ribosomal RNA". It matches the Rfam family "Bacterial small subunit ribosomal RNA", at positions 339 to 795 of the family's 1533-position model. The record is from RNAcentral.
CUACGGGGGGCUGCAGUGGGGAAUAUUGCACAAGGGAGGGAACUCUGAUGCAGCAACGCCGCGUGGAGGAUGACACAUUUCGGUGCGUAAACUCCUUUUAUAUAAGAAGAUAAUGACGGUAUUAUAUGAAUAAGCACCGGCUAACUCCGUGCCAGCAGCCGCGGUAAUACGGGGGGUGCAAGCGUUACUCGGAAUCACUGGGCGUAAAGAGCAUGUAGGCUGGUUUGUAAGUUGGAAGUGAAAUCCUAUGGCUUAACCAUAGAACUGCUUCCAAAACUACUUACCUAGAGUAUGGGAGAGGUAGAUGGAAUUUCUGGUGUAGGGGUAAAAUCCGUAGAGAUCAGAAGGAAUACCGAUUGCGGAGGCGAUCUACUGGAACAUUACUGACGCUCAGAUGCGAAAGCGUGGGGAGCAAACAGGAUUAGAUACCCUAGUAGUC